This 496-nucleotide ribosomal RNA is filed under the name uncultured bacterium. RNAcentral describes it as "partial 16S ribosomal RNA". It matches the Rfam family "Bacterial small subunit ribosomal RNA", at positions 28 to 506 of the family's 1533-position model. The record is from RNAcentral.
GAUGAACGCUGGCGGCGUGCCUAAUACAUGCAAGUCGAGCGAACGGACGAGAAGCUUGCUUCUCUGAUGUUAGCGGCGGACGGGUGAGUAACACGUGGAUAACCUACCUAUAAGACUGGGAUAACUUCGGGAAACCGUAGCUAAUACCGGAUAAUAUUUUGAACCGCAUGGUUCAAAAGUGAAAGACGGUCUUGCUGUCACUUAUAGAUGGAUCCGCGCUGCAUUAGCUAGUUGGUAAGGUAACGGCUUACCAAGGCAACGAUGCAUAGCCGACCUGAGAGGGUGAUCGGCCACACUGGAACUGAGACACGGUCCUGACUCCUACGGGAGGCAGCAGUAGGGAAUCUACCGCAAUGGGCGAAAGCCUGACGGAGCAACGCCGCGUGAGUGAUGAAGGGCUUCGGAUCGUAAAACUGUGUUAUUAGGGAAGAACAUAUGUGUAAGUAACUGUGCACAUCUUGACGGUACCGAAUCAGAAAACCACGGCUAACUACGU